GAUGUUCGCUUAAGAAACCAGAACUUCCAGCGUCUUUGUUCUGACCGUUUUGCUCCUCCUCCCGUUACCGGGGUCUCCGUUAAGACGGAGUUGCCGGCGCAGAGACGCCCGCGCCCCCGCGUGCAGGUGCCCGAGCUCGGCAGGCGCCCGCGCAGGGAGCGGACCCCGGCCUCGCCCCGCAGCCCCGUCCCGGCCGCCCCGUGCGCGAGGCUCCUCCCCCCGCGGGUCCCCGGCCCGUGCACACAACCCCGCGGGCGCACUCGGGCCGACCGCCGCGACCGCCGAGGGCCUGAGCUGGCCGCGGACUCCCGCUCCGAGCGGCGCCCGGGUCCUGCCGUCUUCCCGCGUCUCGGGCCCGCGCCUUCCCCCCACUGGCUCGGUCUGCCGGACCCGCCGAGGCACCUCGCCUGCCCGGGACGCGCAGCCGUUUGGGGGGACGCGGAGGAGCUGACCGGAGCCGCCGCCGCCGCGGGGCCGCCGCCACCCGGACGGUCGCCCCGAAGUGGCCACGGGCCGGGCCGCGACAGGGGCUCAGCCUGGGGCCUCGCUGGCCUCGCUGGCGCCACCGGCUUCCCUCCGAGGAGGGCCCGUCGCGGGGGGGGGGGGGGCCCGCCUGGCCGCUCACCGGCGCCGGGGCCCAGGGCUCUGGGGACCGCCACUCGACGCGACCGUGCGCGGCCCAGCCUAGCCGCGGCGCCCUGGGGACCCGGGACACCCGCCUGGCCCGAUGGCGGCCGGUCUCAGCCGCGGGCGCGGGGCGCGACGGAGCUUGGGGCCCGGGAGCCAGGCCGCCGAGGCCGCACCCCGCCGGGCGUCCGCAGGGAGCAGUCGGGGUCACGCGGGCUGAGCGAGCCGCCCACGGGCUGGAAACGGCCCUCGGGCCCAGGGGCAGGGCGGCCUGGCGGGGCGCGGCCGGGUGCUCUGGCUGCAAGCCCAGGCCUGCUCCUCGAGGGCUCUUCACUGCGGACCCCGGAGGCAGGGGGCCCCGCGGCCCCGCUGACUCCUCAGUCUCUGCCUACAGGGCUGCGCCUCUCGACCCCUGCGCUUCCCCCACUUUGUGCACUGACUUCUGCUGCGCGGGUGGCUCACGUGGCUCUUUCACGGUUUGCGCGUUGA
Molecule: long non-coding RNA, 1116 nt
Filed under: Canis lupus familiaris (dog)
Lineage: Eukaryota; Metazoa; Chordata; Mammalia; Carnivora; Canidae
Description: lncRNA (ENSCAFG00000048642.2)
Source: RNAcentral